AGAGAUUAACAGGAUUAGAUACCCUGGUAGUCCACGCCCUAAACGAUGAUCACUCGUUGUUGGCAAUACACCGUCAGCGACUAAGCGAAAGCAUUAAGUGAUCCACCUGGGGAGUACGAUCGCAAGGUUGAAACUCAAAGGAAUUGACGGGGGCCCGCACAAGCGGAGGAGCAUGUGGUUUAAUUCGAUGAUACGCGAGGAACCUUACCUGGGCUCAAACGCAGAACGACCUUCACCGAAAGGUGGACUCUCUUCGGAGCGGUCUGCGAGGUGCUGCAUGGUUGUCGUCAGCUCGUGCCGUGAGGUGUCGGGUUAAGUCCCAUAACGAGCGCAACCCCUAUUCUUAGUUGCCAUCAGGUAAUGCUGGGGACUCUAGGAAAACUGCCUACGCAAGUAGUGAGGAAGGUGGGGAUGACGUCAAAUCAGCACGGCCCUUACGUCCAGGGCUACACACGUGCUACAAUGGCCGGUACAGAGGGCAGCCACCUGGUAACAGGGAGCAAAUCUCCAAAGCCGGUCUCAGUUCGGAUCGAAGUCUGCAACUCGACUUCGUGAAGUUGGAUUCGCUAGUAAUCGUAUAUCAGCAAUGAUACGGUGAAUACGUUCCCGGGCCUUGUACACACCGCCCGUCAAGCCAUGGAAGCUGGGGGUACCUGAAGUCCGUCACCGAAAGGAGCGGCCUAGGGUAAAAUCAGUAACUGGGGCUAAGUCGUAACAAGGUAACCAAU
RNAcentral lists this ribosomal RNA (728 nucleotides) under uncultured bacterium. RNAcentral describes it as "bacterial SSU rRNA". It matches the Rfam family "Bacterial small subunit ribosomal RNA", at positions 764 to 1504 of the family's 1533-position model. The record is from RNAcentral.